AGAGUUUGAUCAUGGCUCAGGAUGAAUGCUGGCGGCGUGCCUAACACAUGCAAGUCGAGCGAAGCACUGAACUUUGAUCCUUCGGGUGAAGAGUUCUGUGACUGAGCGGCGGACGGGUGAGUAACACGUAGGUAACCUGCCUCACACAGGGGGAUAACAGUUAGAAAUGACUGCUAAUACCGCAUAAGCGCACGGGGACGCAUGUUCUUGUGUGAAAAGCCGAGACGGUAUGAGAUGGACCUGCGUCUGAUUAGCCAGUUGGCGGGGUAACGGCCCACCAAAGCGACGAUCAGUAGCCGGCCUGAGAGGGUGGACGGCCACAUUGGGACUGAGACACGGCCCAGACUCCUACGGGAGGCAGCAGUGGGGAAUAUUGCACAAUGGGGGAAACCCUGAUGCAGCGACGCCGCGUGAGUGAAGAAGUAUUUCGGUAUGUAAAGCUCUAUCAGCAGGGAAGAAAAUGACGGUACCUGAGUAAGAAGCCCCGG
This 488-nucleotide ribosomal RNA is filed under the name uncultured bacterium. Its description in RNAcentral is "bacterial SSU rRNA". It matches the Rfam family "Bacterial small subunit ribosomal RNA", at positions 8 to 496 of the family's 1533-position model. The record is from RNAcentral.